CUGCUACCUAUGAUACCCUGAUGCAGAUGAAGUACCUGGACAUAGUGGUGAAUAAAACUCUCAGAUUGUAUCCAGUUGGUGCCAGAAUUGAGAGAAUAUUUAAGAAAGAUAUUGAAAUCAGUGGAGUAUUCAUUAGUAAGGGGACGCUGGUGGUGAUACCAAUCUUUGUUCUACAUCGAGACCCAAAGUAUUGGCCAGAGUCUGAGGAGUUCCGCCCUGAAAGGUUCAAUAAGAACAAGGACAGCAUCGAUUCUUACGUGUACAUGCCCUUUGGAAAUGGCCCCUGAAACUGCAUUGUCAUGAGGUUUGCUCUCAUGAACAUGAAACUUGCUCUUGUCAAUACAGAACUUCUCCUUCCAAAUUUGUAAGGAAACACAGAUUCCUCUGAAAUUAAGCUAUCAAGGACUUCUUCAACCUGAAAAGGCUAUUAUUCUGAAGGUUUUGUACAGAGAUUGGGCAAUUAGUGGAGGCUGAACUUCCCUAAAAAUUUUUGCAUGGUUCUUCUUGGAGACUGGGAUCCAGAACAUCAGAGAAAAAUUUUUUUGUGAAGAAAACUCAAAAUGAAGAUAGACUCUAUAUUCCUCAGUGGAUGAAUGAUAAUAGAUGCUGGAUCUUUGCUGAACUUGCUCAGUGCCUGUGCAGAGUAUUAUCUAUUUUAUGAUGGAAAGGAGGUGCCCACCUCAGUGCCAGAUGUGAAGACUCAGCCUUCUGGGUCUAAUGGACUCUCUCUUCUCACCACCAGUUAGUCCUGGCAGCUUCUCCUGAGCUCUGAUCAGAGAAUCAACAAUUAUCACCAAAUUUAUCAACAAUUUUUUAAUGAAAAUGAGGAUUAUUGUGGUGGCUUUUGUAGUGACAUUGAUAUAUGAUGUGUUCUUUGAAAUAUGCUGUCAUAAGUUUUAUAAUGAGAAAGUCAAUAAACAUAUCCUUAUAGAAGUUUUAAAAAAUAAAAUAUACUAUGAAGACAAUGAGCUAGAGGAA
This 978-nucleotide long non-coding RNA is filed under the name Marmota monax (woodchuck). Lineage: Eukaryota; Metazoa; Chordata; Mammalia; Rodentia; Sciuridae. The record is from RNAcentral.